GUGGGGAAUAUUGCACAAUGGGCGCAAGCCUGAUGCAGCGACGCCGCGUGGGGGAUGACGGCCUUCGGGUUGUAAACUCCUUUCGCUAGGGACGAAGCUUUUUGUGACGGUACCUAGAUAAGAAGCACCGGCUAACUACGUGCCAGCAGCCGCGGUAAUACGUAGGGUGCGAGCGUUGUCCGGAAUUACUGGGCGUAAAGGGCUCGUAGGUGGUUUGUCGCGUCGUCUGUGAAAUUCCGGGGCUUAACUCCGGGCGUGCAGGCGAUACGGGCAUAACUUGAGUACUGUAGGGGUAACUGGAAUUCCUGGUGUAGCGGUGAAAUGCGCAGAUAUCAGGAGGAACACCGAUGGCGAAGGCAGGUUACUGGGCAGUUACUGACGCUGAGGAGCGAAAGCAUGGGUAGCGAACAGG
This 412-nucleotide ribosomal RNA is filed under the name bacterium. RNAcentral describes it as "bacterial SSU rRNA". It matches the Rfam family "Bacterial small subunit ribosomal RNA", at positions 354 to 776 of the family's 1533-position model. RNAcentral also lists the same sequence under 2 other names. The record is from RNAcentral.